This is a non-coding RNA of Malus domestica (apple), 1447 nucleotides long. Lineage: Eukaryota; Viridiplantae; Streptophyta; Magnoliopsida; Rosales; Rosaceae. The record is from RefSeq and is a predicted model, not a curated record.
UUGUGAGAAAAUAUGUAGGGUUUGAAUUGAGUUUGUUAUGCAUAUCAUGUUUGCCACAAUACAGGUUUUGUCAUAUUUGCGGUAGAUGCCAAACGAAUGAUGGCUACAUGUUGAACUCAAUUUGAUAGAAUUGAUCUAUUAAAGCUUGUACAGUUAUUAAUUUUUCUUCUGUGCGUUUGAUUCCAUGAUGAUGAAUUUUUAUAAGAAUUAAUCAAGGAUUCAUUGGGUGGUUAUGGAAUGUGAGUACAUAUGCUAUUAAUUUUGUUAUCAAUAAUCCGUGGCUUUUUGUGGGUCUUAUCGUUUUGAAUUAAUGAAUCUGAUUAUAAAGAUGUGCAUAAAAUAUGCCUUGUACAGACCAAAUAUUAGUAAGAUAAAAGAAAGAUGAAAUUUUGGUUUGACGACAUUAAAAGUUUUUGUUUGUCUAAGAGAUAUUAUUGUUCAUGGUUUGUCUUUUUUCUAUGAAUUUGUGUUGAUGGGAUUCUGGCCAUCGCUUUGGCGAUGAUUUUGGUUCGGCGCAUCUGUAACAAUGGCGAUUUACUUCGAUAAUCUGCAAUGGUAUGAGGUCCAUGGGAAUUGGGAGUGAUGGCAAUCUGGAUGGAUGGAUCUCGAGCAUUGAUAGAUAAUUUGUUUUGUUGAUUUGGAACCGAGGAAUUGCAAUCAGGUUGACGAACACGGGUCCAAUGAUGCAUUCAGAGAGGAGAAGGUUGUGUGUAGAGGGUGUCUUGGUAUGCGUCCAUGUGACAGUUAAAGAAGAUGAAGAAGUCGGAUUGUACACACAAUGUCACGGCUUGGUGCUUUACGUGUCCUGCUGUAUUCUUGAACCCAGUUCCUUUUGGCAACAAAGUAGUUUUCAACUGCAGCAAAGGUUGCGGUGUUCAUGGUUAUGACACCAUCCGUGUGGCUCUUGCUUCAGCUGAUCCUGGUCAUGGUUGGACUGUCACCAAUCAUCACAACAUUGGUCAUUUGCUUUUCAACGAUGACAGUCAUCUCGGAAUCCACUCGUCCUUUGGCUUAAUGGAAUAGCACCAUCUGCUGUCUUUUAACAACACACAUGGGAAAGACUUCGUGAAGCAGUCUGGAGUGACCCAAGGAGGAGUGAUGGCUAAACGUUGUUCAUCAGUCUCAUACUUGUCAUAGCAUCUUUGCUUUACUCGACACUUUCAAUCUCUCCAUCUAUUACCGACUGUACUGAAGCAAUAAAGACUAUAUACGUCAGGAGCAUAUGUGUUAUCCUACAACGAUAGAUAAUAACAAUUAAUCAAAUUAAGGAAUCAUGUCAUGAUUCAUUCGAUUUGGAGUUGAGAAAUAAUGUCAAAGAUUUCAUUCAAAACAGGUUAGGCUGCUGAAUUUCUGUGUUUCUGCAUCAUACCUUUAGCUUUGAAAAUUCACCAAAAUAUCAAUUUAAUUUCGAUUUAUAUGAACAAGCUCUGAAAUGCUCAUUGGUAUG